Molecule: non-coding RNA, 226 nt
Organism: Pelobates cultripes (western spadefoot toad)
Lineage: Eukaryota; Metazoa; Chordata; Amphibia; Anura; Pelobatidae
Source: the annotation of a GenBank genome assembly
GUUCUGGCAACUCUCAAUAUGACCAGCCAUGAGCCAGAACCUACCAUUGACUUGUCCUCAGUCCCUGAUUCCUUAUGGGCUACAGGGAAGACAGAUACAGGCAGACUCUCUGUGCCCCCAGUCAAAGUGAAUCUCCUGCCCGGAGCCAUACCUCCCUAUCAAAAACAAUACCCACUAAACCCAGCACAGGAAGAUGCUAUUUUGCAAUCUGUGCAAGAGUUUCUGC